Molecule: ribosomal RNA, 329 nt
Filed under: Foraminifera environmental sample
Lineage: Eukaryota; Foraminifera
Description: SSU rRNA
Rfam family: Eukaryotic small subunit ribosomal RNA
Source: RNAcentral
AAGGGCACCACAAGAACGCGUGGAGCAUGUGGCUUAAUUUGACUCAACGCGGGAAAUCUUACCAGGUCCGGACAUAUUGAGGAUUGACAGGCGAUAGUAAUAUUAUUUUAUAUAAUAUUGCAUAAAAAUGAUAGUCCUUUCAUGAUUAUAUGAUAGGUGGUGCAUGGCCGUUCUUAGUUCGUGGAGUGAUUUGUCUGCUUAAUUGCGUUUCAGUUAAAAAAAUGUAUGUCAAUUAUAAUACUGUUCUGCCAAUAUAAUUCAUUUUAUUUUGGAUUUGUGAACGUAUAUUGAUCGUUAUACUAUAUAAAUGAAUGCAACGAACGUGACCG